Molecule: ribosomal RNA, 254 nt
Filed under: uncultured bacterium
Lineage: Bacteria
Description: partial 16S ribosomal RNA
Rfam family: Bacterial small subunit ribosomal RNA
Source: RNAcentral
UACGUAGGGGGCGAGCGUUGUCCGGAAUUAUUGGGCGUAAAGAGCUCGUAGGCGGCUUAGUAAGUCGGCGGUGAAAUACCGAGGCUCAACCUCGGCACUGCCGUCGAUACUGCUAUGGCUAGAGUUUGGUAGAGGAGAACGGAAUUCCCGGUGUAGCGGUAGAAUGCGCAGAUAUCGGGAGGAACACCCGUAGCGAAGGCGGUUCUCUGGGCCAAUACUGACGCUGAGGAGCGAAAGCGUGGGGAGCGAACAGG